RNAcentral lists this ribosomal RNA (460 nucleotides) under uncultured bacterium. Its description in RNAcentral is "partial 16S ribosomal RNA". It matches the Rfam family "Bacterial small subunit ribosomal RNA", at positions 338 to 795 of the family's 1533-position model. The record is from RNAcentral.
CCUACGUGUGGCAGCAGUGAGGAAUAUUGGUCAAUGGGCGUAAGCCUGAACCAGCCAAGUCGCGUGAGGGAUGAAGGUUCUAUGGAUCGUAAACUUCUUUUAUAAGGGAAUAAAGUUAUCCACGUGUGCCGUUUUGCAUGUACCUUAUGAAUAAGCAUCGGCUAACUCCGUGCCAGCAGCCGCGGUAAUACCGAGGAUUCGAGCGUUAUCCGGAUUUAUUGGGUUUAAAGGGUGCGUAGGUGGCGUUUUAAGUCAGCGGUGAAAGUCUGUGGCUCAACCAGAGAAUUGCCGUUGAAACUGGGAGGCUUGAGUAUGUUAGAGGCAGGCGGAAUGCGUGGUGUAGCGGUGAAAUGCAUAGAUAUAACGCAGAACCCCGAUUGCGAAGGCAGCCUGCCAAGCCAUAACUGACGCUGAUGCACGAAAGCGUGGGGAUCAAACAGGAUUAGAUACCCUUGUAGUC